GACACUUUGGCCGAGUGGUUAAGGCGAUGCCCUGCUAUCUGAUCUUCAGUAUCCAAGGCAUUGUGUUCGCACGCGCAGGUUCGAAUCCUGCAGGUGUCG
Escovopsis weberi is the source of this 99-nucleotide transfer RNA. It matches the Rfam family "tRNA". Rfam says of the family: Transfer RNA (tRNA) molecules are approximately 80 nucleotides in length. Their secondary structure includes four short double-helical elements and three loops (D, anti-codon, and T loops). Lineage: Eukaryota; Fungi; Ascomycota; Sordariomycetes; Hypocreales; Hypocreaceae. The record is from Rfam.